Poecilia reticulata (guppy) is the source of this 679-nucleotide non-coding RNA. The record is from RefSeq and is a predicted model, not a curated record. Lineage: Eukaryota; Metazoa; Chordata; Actinopteri; Cyprinodontiformes; Poeciliidae.
AGAAAGAGCAGAAGGUAGGGGUGACUUGGACAGUGCACUCAAGACAUUGUGGACUGGUGCCUAAAGAACCACGUCUUCAUCAACGCUGGAAAAACUAAGGAUCUGGUGGCGAAGGAGGCGCAGACCCACCUCACCGAUACUGCUACCUCUGGUCUGGUUCUUGUUUGGCUGUGGUGAUUUGGCUGGUACAGGGCUGCUGGCAGGUGUUUUACUGCAGAGGAUUUCGUCUGCAACAACGACCUCAAGGGCGGCCUCUCUGUUGAAAAGGACUGUGAACCGCCCAAAGCAACAUUUCACCAAGCUUCUUCAGACACUUCAAAGACAGAAACAGGCACUGAAAAGCACUUUAAUAUUUAGCAGGUGUUAAUAAGAAUUUACAGGAGACAGAAAUACAUUUUCCUGCAUAAUAAAGCAAGCCACCUGCAUCAUUUAGCAGGUCCAAAGAGCAGCUUUCAGGGAGCACACUCCAGUUUAAUGAGAGUAUGUUAGAAAAAGGCACUGCCAGCCUGCGACCACAACAAAGUCUGACUGUUUAUUCAAGUAUUUACAGCUGGCCGAGAAAGCUUUUUGUAUGUGACCUUGAAGUAAAGGCAGUAAAUUAAUGCACGGUGAGAGAGAAGUGAUCACAGAAGACUGGGUCUACACUGCUUUAAUGCUUCUUUCUUCAGAUUUUUUUUAA